RNAcentral lists this ribosomal RNA (1876 nucleotides) under Salmonella enterica subsp. enterica serovar Enteritidis. Its description in RNAcentral is "partial 23S ribosomal RNA". It matches the Rfam family "Bacterial large subunit ribosomal RNA", at positions 1 to 1893 of the family's 2925-position model. The record is from RNAcentral. Lineage: Bacteria; Pseudomonadati; Pseudomonadota; Gammaproteobacteria; Enterobacterales; Enterobacteriaceae.
GGGUUGUGAGGUUAAGCGACUAAGCGUACACGGUGGAUGCCCUGGCAGUCAGAGGCGAUGAAGGGCGUGCUAAUCUGCGAUAAGCGCCGGUAAGGUGAUAUGAACCGUUAUAACCGGCGAUACCCGAAUGGGGAAACCCAGUGUGAUUCGUCACACUAUCAUUAACUGAAUCCAUAGGUUAAUGAGGCGAACCGGGGGAACUGAAACAUCUAAGUACCCCGAGGAAAAGAAAUCAACCGAGAUUCCCCCAGUAGCGGCGAGCGAACGGGGAGGAGCCCAGAGCCUGAAUCAGCAUGUGUGUUAGUGGAAGCGUCUGGAAAGGCGCGCGAUACAGGGUGACAGCCCCGUACACAAAAGCGCAUGUGCUGUGAGCUCGAUGAGUAGGGCGGGACACGUGGUAUCCUGUCUGAAUAUGGGGGGACCAUCCUCCAAGGCUAAAUACUCCUGACUGACCGAUAGUGAACCAGUACCGUGAGGGAAAGGCGAAAAGAACCCCGGCGAGGGGAGUGAAAAAGAACCUGAAACCGUGUACGUACAAGCAGUGGGAGCACCCUUUGGGUGUGACUGCGUACCUUUUGUAUAAUGGGUCAGCGACUUAUAUUCUGUAGCAAGGUUAACCGAAUAGGGGAGCCGGAGGGAAACCGAGUCUUAACCGGGCGUUAAGUUGCAGGGUAUAGACCCGAAACCCGGUGAUCUAGCCAUGGGCAGGUUGAAGGUUGGGUAACACUAACUGGAGGACCGAACCGACUAAUGUUGAAAAAUUAGCGGAUGACCUGUGGCUGGGGGUGAAAGGCCAAUCAAACCGGGAGAUAGCUGGUUCUCCCCGAAAGCUAUUUAGGUAGCGCCUCGUGAAUUCAUCUCCGGGGGUAGAGCACUGUUUCGGCUAGGGGGCCAUCCCGGCUUACCAACCCGAUGCAAACUGCGAAUACCGGAGAAUGUUAUCACGGGAGACACACGGCGGGUGCUAACGUCCGUCGUGAAGAGGGAAACAACCCAGACCGCCAGCUAAGGUCCCAAAGUCAUGGUUAAGUGGGAAACGAUGUGGGAAGGCCCAGACAGCCAGGAUGUUGGCUUAGAAGCAGCCAUCAUUUAAAGAAAGCGUAAUAGCUCACUGGUCGAGUCGGCCUGCGCGGAAGAUGUAACGGGGCUAAACCAUGCACCGAAGCUGCGGCAGCGACACUGUGUGUUGUUGGGUAGGGGAGCGUUCUGUAAGCCUGUGAAGGUGUGUCGUGAGGCAUGCUGGAGGUAUCAGAAGUGCGAAUGCUGACAUAAGUAACGAUAAAGCGGGUGAAAAGCCCGCUCGCCGGAAGACCAAGGGUUCCUGUCCAACGUUAAUCGGGGCAGGGUGAGUCGACCCCUAAGGCGAGGCCGAAAGGCGUAGUCGAUGGGAAACGGGUUAAUAUUCCCGUACUUGGUGUUACUGCGAAGGGGGGACGGAGAAGGCUAUGUUGGCCGGGCGACGGUUGUCCCGGUUUAAGCGUGUAGGUGUGUGUUCCAGGUAAAUCCGGUUCACUUUAACACUGAGGCGUGACGACGAGGCACUACGGUGCUGAAGCAACAAAUGCCCUGCUUCCAGGAAAAGCCUCUAAGCAUCAGGUAACAUCAAAUCGUACCCCAAACCGACACAGGUGGUCAGGUAGAGAAUACCAAGGCGCUUGAGAGAACUCGGGUGAAGGAACUAGGCAAAAUGGUGCCGUAACUUCGGGAGAAGGCACGCUGACACGUAGGUGAAGUGAUUUACUCAUGGAGCUGAAGUCAGUCGAAGAUACCAGCUGGCUGCAACUGUUUAUUAAAAACACAGCACUGUGCAAACACGAAAGUGGACGUAUACGGUGUGACGCCUGCCCGGUGCCGGAAGGUUAAUUGAUGGGGUCAG